This is a long non-coding RNA of Leopardus geoffroyi (Geoffroy's cat), 678 nucleotides long. RefSeq lists it as uncharacterized. The record is from RefSeq and is a predicted model, not a curated record. The transcript has 3 exons. NCBI's taxonomy places the organism in Eukaryota, Metazoa, Chordata, Mammalia, Carnivora, Felidae.
CUCCCUGUUGGGUCACUUCUACUGCCUCCUUUCCUAGGUGCUCACCUUAAACCACUCCAUCACAUGCAACCCAAAGUGAAUAAUUGUUUUGAAAACGAAUCGUUCAGGGGACAGAGCACGGCACAGGAAGAGGGCAGAGGAGGUUCUGAGGCACGCGUCGGCCAUCUUCCCGCCAUCUUGGGGUCUUACGACUCAUUUCAGCAGAAUGAGGUUCUACCAGCUGCCUAGCAGAUUCUCAGCCUUAGCUAUUAUGGACUGAUGGUCUGGCAAUGCUUCUUGCGUCUCUGUCAUUCCCUCAGCCCCCCACCCCCAUCCCACCCCACUGUAAAUCUUCUCGUCUACUGCAGGCACAGGCUUUCCCUGGACUUCAAAAAACAGCCGACCCUUGUAAGAGUUGCCUGUACCCGGCAACCGGCAACAUGCAUCUGUCAACCAGUUUGUCUGCGAGAGGGAGGGGCCCCACAGCCACAGCUCUGGCCCAGAUGAGCCCACCCGUACCAGAGGAGCCGAGGCUGGCUUGAACUAUGUCCUGCUGUCUCCUUGCCCUUCUCCUGGGCACUUUCUUAGGUAGACCCUGAGGCACCACGGAACUUCACAGCCUCCAGGCCCCAGGACGGCCAGUUCAUCUUGAGUUCUCAGAAGCUCCUCCUCAGUGACUCUGGCUUCUACCUCUGCGCC